AGCAUAUCAAUAAGCGGAGGAAAAGAAACCAACAGGGAUUGCCUCAGUAACGGCGAGUGAAGCGGCAACAGCUCAAAUUUGAAAUCUGGCCUUCGGGUCCGAGUUGUAAUUUGCAGAGGAUGCUUUUGACGAGGUGGCGACCGAGUGCCCUGGAACGGGCCGCCGUAGAGGGUGAGAGCCCCGUAUGGUCGCACUGCCGAGUCUCUGUAAAGCUCCUUCAACGAGUCGAGUAGUUUGGGAAUGCUGCUCUAAAUGGGAGGUGUAUGUCUUCUAAAGCUAAAUACCGGCCAGUGACCGAUAGCGCACAAGUAGAGUGAUCGAAAGGUGAAAAGAACUUUGAAAAGAGAGUUAAAAAGUACGUGAAAUUGUCAAAAGGGAAGCAUUUAUGACCAGACUUGGGCGUGGUUGAUCAUCCGGCGUUCUCGCCGGUGCACUCUGCCCGCCUAGGCCAGCAUCAGUUCGCCUCGGGGGAGAAAGGCUUCGGGAAUGUAGCUCCUUCGGGAGUGUUAUAGCCCGUUGCGUAAUGCCCUGGGGUGGACUGAGGUCCGCGCUCGCGCUUGGAUGUUGGCAUAAUGGUCAUCAAUGACCCGUCUUGAAACACGGACCAAGGAGUCGUCUUCGUAUGCGAGUGUUCGGGUGUCAAACCCCUACGCGAAAUGAAAGUGAACGCAGGUGGGAGCUUCGGCGCACCACCGACCGAUCCUGAUGUUCUCGGAUGGAUUUGAGUAAGAGCAUACGGGGCCGGACCCGAAAGAAGGUGAACUAUGCCUGUGUAGGGUGAAGCCAGAGGAAACUCUGGUGGAGGCUCGCAGCGGUUCUGACGUGCAAAUCGAUCGUCAAACAUGGGCAUGGGGGCGAAAGACUAAUCGAACCUUCUAGUAGCUGGUUUCCGCCGAAGUUUCCCUCAGGAUAGCAGUGUUGGACUCAGCUUUAUGAGGAAAAGCGAAUGAUUAGGGACCCGGGGGCGCUAUUUAGCCUUCAUCCAUUCUCAAACUUUAAAUAUG
RNAcentral lists this ribosomal RNA (1004 nucleotides) under Parasarocladium breve. RNAcentral's name for it is "eukaryotic LSU rRNA". It matches the Rfam family "Eukaryotic large subunit ribosomal RNA", at positions 37 to 1073 of the family's 3401-position model. Lineage: Eukaryota; Fungi; Ascomycota; Sordariomycetes; Hypocreales; Sarocladiaceae. The record is from RNAcentral.